RNAcentral lists this ribosomal RNA (750 nucleotides) under uncultured Thermotoga sp. RNAcentral's name for it is "bacterial SSU rRNA". It matches the Rfam family "Bacterial small subunit ribosomal RNA", at positions 28 to 774 of the family's 1533-position model. Lineage: Bacteria; Thermotogati; Thermotogota; Thermotogae; Thermotogales; Thermotogaceae. The record is from RNAcentral.
GGUGAACGCUGGCGGCGUGCCUAACACAUGCAAGUCGAGCGGGUACCCGCAAGGGUACCAGCGGCGCACGGGUGAGUAACACGUGGGUAAUCUACCCCUCGGAGGGGGAUAACCGGGGGAAACUCCGGCUAAUACCCCAUACGAUCCAACAACACAAGUUGUUGGAUGAGAGGAGCGUUUGCUCCGCCGAGGGAUGAGCCCGCGGCCCAUCAGGUAGUUGGUGGGGUAAUGGCCCACCAAGCCUACGACGGGUAGCCGGCCUGAGAGGGUGGUCGGCCACAAGGGCACUGAGACACGGGCCCUACUCCUACGGGAGGCAGCAGUGGGGAAUCUUGGACAAUGGGCGAAAGCCUGAUCCAGCGACGCCGCGUGGGGGAUGAAGCCCUUCGGGGUGUAAACCCCUGUUGCGAGGGAGGAAUAAGGCCUGGAGGAAAUGCCAGGCCGAUGACUGUACCUCGCGAGGAAGCCCCGGCUAACUACGUGCCAGCAGCCGCGGUAAUACGUAGGGGGCGAGCGUUACCCGGAUUCACUGGGCGUAAAGCGGGUGUAGGCGGCUCGGUAAGUCGGGUGUGAAAUCCCACAGCUCAACUGUGGAAUUGCGCCCGAAACUGCUGAGCUUGGGGCCGGUAGAGGGAGACGGAACUGCCGGUGUAGGGGUGAAAUCCGUAGAUAUCGGCAGGAACGCCGGUUGGGAAGCCGGUCUCCUGGGCCGCGCCCGACGCUGAGACCCGAAAGCUAGGGGAGCAAACC